This is a non-coding RNA of Octopus bimaculoides (California two-spot octopus), 46 nucleotides long. The record is from Rfam. NCBI's taxonomy places the organism in Eukaryota, Metazoa, Mollusca, Cephalopoda, Octopoda, Octopodidae.
CAACCGGCCCUUUUCAGGGCCACUAACAUUUUAACGUUUGUUUUCU